AAGAAUCUUACAUUUAAACUUCUACAUUAGAUAGUCACAUAAACAUCCCACUCGAUGCCUUAGAUAUUAAAAAGAAUGUUUUGAUAUUCAUUACAAUUAAUAGGAUCAUCAAUUUAUAGUACAACGAUACUGCACUAAGCAACUACUAUAUUGUACAGCAAUAACAACAAUCAAGUCUCAUUCUUCUAAAUAGUGCCGGUUACAUAGAUCAAAUUUUGUUGUAAUGUUCUGUCCACUUCACACUAUGUCAUAGAGAUUCAACACAGUUUUACAUGGUAAACUAAUCAAAAAUUGACUUUCANCUUAAUUAUUCUAUAGUGCUGAAUUUUUCUUAUUCUAUUAAAUUAAGGCUGACCUUAAUUAUUCUAUAGUGCUGAUUUUUCAUAUCCUAAGAUAUAACUCUAAUACUCCCCCACAAGCUCAAGGUGGUUGCAAAGGCUGACUUGAGGCAGACAGGUUGAGCUUGCUGUUGAGCUCCAUAAAUCUUGAACUUGAGAGAGGCUUGGUGAGG
RNAcentral lists this long non-coding RNA (511 nucleotides) under Lathyrus oleraceus (garden pea). Its description in RNAcentral is "Pisum sativum (pea) long non-coding RNA (PSAT_LNC007022)". Lineage: Eukaryota; Viridiplantae; Streptophyta; Magnoliopsida; Fabales; Fabaceae. The record is from RNAcentral.